ACUCAGUGGGAAAUGGCAGAUGUGUUAUUUAAAUAUAUAAUGUAUAUGUGACAGUAGAACUGUAUGACCACUACAGGUUUAGCACUUGCCCAUAAAUAUGCAGUAAUAAUCUUACUGUUCAGAAUUAAGUUCUGUAUAUAUUUAUAAAAUUGUUAAGUAAUGUAUAGACUUUUACUGAUAUUCAUUAUUCCUAUUAACACAGGAAGCGACUAACAGCCAAAGAAUGUUUUAACCAUCCUUGGCUAGCACAGACUGAAGCAGACAUGAAUAAAGUAGUCCUGUCAACAGACAAACUUAAGAAAUUCAUAAUAAGGCGGAAGUGGCAGAAAACUGGGAAUGCUAUCCGUGCCCUGGGACGAAUGGCCAACCUCACCAAUCGUCGCAGUUCACAACCCUCCUCACCAACCCGCCUUUCGCCACUCCCAGAGAACCAUCCCCACACACCCCAUCCUCAUCUUCCCAGUCUCCAAUUUCCACUCCAACCACCCUCUCAAAGACCAAAGGGUGUGCUCCUGUGACUCGCCCCUCAUCCAGUAUAGUCAGCGAGAGAAGCGAUUCUGGUAUCAGUGAAUGCUCUUUUAAUAUUGAGGAAAAUAACCAGAAUGUAGGUAACAAUCAAUUUGGUAUAACAAAUGGUCGUGCUGUUACAGGGCGCAAUGUUCUCAAAAGUGGAAAGACACCUUCUUUAGACUGGCAAUCUUCUGUGGACUCUGCUGUCUGUGAUGACGACUACAUAAGCAAGAACAGCUUUGGAUCUUCCCCAAGAAAAAUAUCCAGGGAGGCACUAAUCCAUGCUAAGUCUGCUGUUGCUGACACUCGCAUGAAUGCACAUUCGAGAAUAUGAGUUAAGCAGUGUAUAGAAAAAAUAUAUUAGUGAAAUAAUUUGUACUUUAAGAAUUUGUACAUAUGCAAAUCAGGACUGUUUAGAAUUAGUCGUUCUCUUGCUUGCUGGCCUCGCAGUACAGGAUCUCUUCUGUGAAUGUAAUUUGCCUAUCUAAUCCAUGUCCUCGUAUAUGGAGCUGAUUAGACGUGUGUAAGACGAGGUCAUGAAUAUUUAAGUCUCGUGAUAAUGACCUUUGAGCAAUGUCUCUCAAAGGGACAUGAGAUAGAGGAUUUUGUAUAAUCGACCAGCCACAAUAAACCUGAAAAAGCUGAUGUCUAAAUUGUAGUGGAAAAAAAAAUGCUGUCACAAGUAGGUCAUUGGAAGCAUGUAAGAAGUGUUUAAUAUUGUUGUGACAGUCUGGUUUACAAGAGUGUGCCUGAAAUUUCUCUUAGCUAAACCUUGCUGUCACUAGUGUUGGUUUAAAGUUGCAGCAAAUCCUAUAAA
Molecule: non-coding RNA, 1327 nt
Organism: Cherax quadricarinatus
Lineage: Eukaryota; Metazoa; Arthropoda; Malacostraca; Decapoda; Parastacidae
Source: RefSeq, a predicted model, not a curated record